This 620-nucleotide ribosomal RNA is filed under the name uncultured fungus. RNAcentral describes it as "eukaryotic LSU rRNA". The stretch from base 196 to 349 matches the Rfam family "5.8S ribosomal RNA". The record is from RNAcentral. Lineage: Eukaryota; Fungi.
UCCGUAGGUGAACCUGCGGAGGGAUCAUUACAGAGCUCCGAAAGGACUCCCAAACCAUUGUGAACAUACCAAAGUUGCUUCGGCGGAUCCGCCCCGGGCGCGCCUCUGGGCGUGCCCCGGGCCAAGGCGGCCGCCGAGGGCCCCAAAUUAUUGAAUUUAUAGCGGACUUCUGAGUACCAAAACAAAAUAAGUUAAAACUUUCAGCAACGGAUCUCUUGGCUCUGGCAUCGAUGAAGAACGCAGCGAAAUGCGAUAAGUAAUGUGAAUUGCAGAAUUCAGUGAAUCAUCGAAUCUUUGAACGCACAUUGCGCCCGCCAGUAUUCUGGCGGGCAUGCCUGUCCGAGCGUCAUUUCAACCCUCAGGGCCCGUCCGCGGGACCUGGCGUUGGGGAUCGGCCGCCCACCGCGGCGGCCGGCCCCGAAAGACAGUGGCGGCUCCCCCGCGAACUCCUCUGCGUAGUAGACAUACGACCGCAGCUGGCUGGCGGGGCGGCCACGCCGUAAAACCCCCAACUUCUCAAGGUUGACCUCGGAUCAGGUAGGAAUACCCGCUGAACUUAAGCAUAUCAAUAAGCGGAGGGAAGUCGGACUGGCCAAGGGGCACACCAGGGGGGGGGGAUA